UGCACCCUGCUCAAUGGGGUGCUAAAGAAGGAAAUAGCUGGAGAACUAAUAAUGACAUUUCUGAUACAUGGGAAAGUAUGCUCUCUAGAGCAGACAUGAAUGAAGUUUAUGCUGAUUUUGCCAGACCUGGUGGCUGGAAUGAUCCCGACAUGUUAGAAGUGGGGAAUGGAGGAAUGAUAAAAGAUGAAUAUGUAGUCCAUUUUAGCAUAUGGGCCAUUUCUAAGGCACCAUAAACGUUUAAUUUGCUAG
Molecule: long non-coding RNA, 249 nt
Organism: Pyrus x bretschneideri (Chinese white pear)
Lineage: Eukaryota; Viridiplantae; Streptophyta; Magnoliopsida; Rosales; Rosaceae
Exons: 3
Source: RefSeq, a predicted model, not a curated record